Molecule: small RNA, 576 nt
Filed under: Vigna angularis var. angularis
Lineage: Eukaryota; Viridiplantae; Streptophyta; Magnoliopsida; Fabales; Fabaceae
Description: Non-protein coding transcript
Source: RNAcentral
AAAUAGCAAAUCUGAGGACGGAGUUAAUAAAAAAUCUAAGGAAGACACUCCUAAAAGUUCUAGCAGUAAAUCCAUUGUUGCUACUAAAAUACUGAACUUCACACCAUUUAGAGAGACCACACCAAAGGUUGUAAUCUAACAAAGGUUGGUGUCUUUUACUUUCCAAGGCUAUAUUAUAGCAGAAGUUGAGCCAUUACAUCUUUAAAUUGUUAUUGCUAUGCUAUGUUUUCUUUAUUUAUUUAUAUUAUGAAUAUGAAGUUAUUAACAAGUGAAUUGUGAUAAGGUUUGUGGUUCCUAAGUACAUGGGUUGUGCAAGUGAUAUGUAUAGCUUUUCCAAAUUUGAUUGGAAAAGAAACAGAGGGUUUUCAUGGACAUGUAAUUACUUGAAAUCUGCUGUUAAGACUAAAUUCUAUUUUAUUAAGAAGAAAUAAUUGUGAUGAAACUCUUAUUUGAGAAUCUACCAGGUAAAGUAGAAAUUAGAUUGUAUCACUUUUGUGGAUCCUAAAUUGUCAUCCGUGGUCUGUCUAAUUUCUAGAAAGUGGACGAAAUUCUUGAACUUGUGAAGUCAACAUGGAG